This is a non-coding RNA of Pteropus alecto (black flying fox), 119 nucleotides long. NCBI's taxonomy places the organism in Eukaryota, Metazoa, Chordata, Mammalia, Chiroptera, Pteropodidae. The record is from Rfam.
GUUUCUGGCCAUACCACCCUAAACAUGCCCGAUCCCAUCUGAUCUCAGAAGCUAAGCAGGGUUGGUCCUGGUUAGUACUUGGAUGGGAGACCACCUAGGAAGACCAUGUGCUGUAGGUG